GACGAACGCUGGCGGCGUGCCUAAUACAUGCAAGUCGAACGAACCGCGACUAGGUGCUUGCACUUGGUCAAGGUGAGUGGCGAACGGGUGAGUAACACGUGGGUAACCUACCUCAUAGUGGGGGAUAACAGUCGGAAACGACUGCUAAUACCGCAUAGGACAUAGGAUCACAUGAUUCUGUGAGGAAAGGUGGCGCAAGCUAUCGCUAAGAGAUGGACCCGCGGUGCAUUAGCUAGUUGGUAGGGUAAAGGCCUACCAAGGCGAUGAUGCAUAGCCGACCUGAGAGGGUGAUCGGCCACAGUGGGACUGAGACACGGCCCAAACUCCUACGGGAGGCAGCAGUAGGGAAUCUUCCGCAAUGGACGCAAGUCUGACGGAGCAACGCCGCGUGAGUGAAGAAGGUCUUCGGAUCGUAAAGCUCUGUUGUUAGAGAAGAACAGCGCAUGGAGUAACUGUUAUGCGUGUGACGGUAUCUAACCAGAAAGCCACGGCUAACUACGUG
This 502-nucleotide ribosomal RNA is filed under the name uncultured bacterium. Its description in RNAcentral is "partial 16S ribosomal RNA". It matches the Rfam family "Bacterial small subunit ribosomal RNA", at positions 28 to 507 of the family's 1533-position model. The record is from RNAcentral.